Molecule: ribosomal RNA, 303 nt
Filed under: uncultured bacterium
Lineage: Bacteria
Description: partial 16S ribosomal RNA
Rfam family: Bacterial small subunit ribosomal RNA
Source: RNAcentral
AGCAGUCGCCGCGGGAAAACGUAGGUGGCAAGCGUUGUCCGGAAUUAUUGGGCGUAAAGGGCUCGCAGGCGGUUUCUUAAGUCUGAUGUGAAAGCCCCCGGCUCAACCGGGGAGGGUCAUUGGAAACUGGGAAACUUGAGUGCAGAAGAGGAGAGUGGAAUUCCACGUGUAGCGGUGAAAUGCGUAGAGAUGUGGAGGAACACCAGUGGCGAAGGCGACUCUCUGGUCUGUAACUGACGCUGAGGAGCGAAAGCGUGGGGAGCGAACAGGAUUAGAUACCCCCGUAGUCCCUGUCUCUUAUAC